Molecule: ribosomal RNA, 460 nt
Filed under: uncultured bacterium
Lineage: Bacteria
Description: partial 16S ribosomal RNA
Rfam family: Bacterial small subunit ribosomal RNA
Source: RNAcentral
CCUACGGGUGGCAGCAGUGAGGAAUAUUGGUCAAUGAGCGCGAGCCUGAACCAGCCAAGUAGCGUGAAGGAUGACUGCCCUACGGGUUUUAAACUUCUUUUAUAAAGGAAUAAAGUGAGGCACGUGUGCCUUUUUGUAUGUACUUUAUGAAUAAGGACCGUCUAAUUCCGUGCCAGCAGCCGCGGUGAUACGGAAGGUCCGGGCGUUGGCCGGAUUUGUUGGGUUUAAAGGGAGCGUAGGCCGGUCUUUAAGCGUGCCGUGAAAUUUUGUGGCUCAACCAUGAGAGUGCGGCGCGAACUGGAGACCUUGAGUGCGCGGAAGGCAGGCGGAAUUCGUGGUGUAGCGGUGAAAUGCUUAGAUAUCACGAAGAACUCCGAGUGCGAAGGCAGCUUACUAAACUGCCACUGACAUUGAUGCUCGAAAGUGUGGGUAUCAAACAGGAUUAGAUACCCCAGUAGUC